RNAcentral lists this ribosomal RNA (444 nucleotides) under uncultured Gammaproteobacteria bacterium. RNAcentral's name for it is "bacterial SSU rRNA". It matches the Rfam family "Bacterial small subunit ribosomal RNA", at positions 1087 to 1532 of the family's 1533-position model. The record is from RNAcentral. Lineage: Bacteria; Pseudomonadati; Pseudomonadota; Gammaproteobacteria.
CCGCACGAGCGCACCCUUAUCCUUAGUUGCCAGCACGUAAUGGUGGGAACUCUAAGGAGACUGCCGGUGACAAACCGGAGGAAGGUGGGGACGACGUCAAGUCAUCAUGGCCCUUACGAGAUGGGCUACACACGUGCUACAAUGGCAAGUACAAAGGGUUGCAAACUCGCGAGAGUAAGCGGAUCCCAUAAAGCUUGUCGUAGUCCGGAUUGGAGUCUGCAACUCGACUCCAUGAAGUCGGAAUCGCUAGUAAUCGUGGAUCAGAAUGCCACGGUGAAUACGUUCCCGGGCCUUGUACACACCGCCCGUCACACCAUGGGAGUGGGCUGCAAAAGAAGUGGAUAGCUUAACCUUCGGGAGGGCGUUCACCACUUUGUGGUUCAUGACUGGGGUGAAGUCGUAACAAGGUAGCCGUAGGGGAACCUGCGGCUGGAUCACCUCCUU